CCUUCCGUAGGUGAACCUGCGGAGGGAUCAUUACUGA
This 37-nucleotide ribosomal RNA is filed under the name Colletotrichum gloeosporioides. RNAcentral describes it as "partial 18S ribosomal RNA". Lineage: Eukaryota; Fungi; Ascomycota; Sordariomycetes; Glomerellales; Glomerellaceae. The record is from RNAcentral.